This 1542-nucleotide unclassified non-coding RNA is filed under the name Hevea brasiliensis (rubber tree). The record is from RNAcentral. Lineage: Eukaryota; Viridiplantae; Streptophyta; Magnoliopsida; Malpighiales; Euphorbiaceae.
GUUUUUUUAAAUAAAUAAUUGAAAUGAACCAAAAUCCAAACUUUCUAUGAAUUGAUAAUUGAAUCGAACUGUUUAAAUCAAAAAAUGGAACUGAAAUUGUAGCUUACUCGCCCUUAAUCCUAAAUCCUACAUCUAAUUACAAUGCUUUCAAUUAAAAUUUUUUAAACAUUAAAAAUCAAAAUAUACGAAUCGAUUUAGGAUGCGCCCUGGUGAUUCAGCAGGCUUACAUUAACAGCCACGAUUCUCCUCCUUCGGAAGUUAAAAAGAACUCUGAUCAAAGGAAAGACCUCACCCAUCGUGACUUCCUGUUCCUGUCGCCCCACAAUAUGUCAAGUCAUUGCCUUCUUCGGAACCAAAUUUGGUGAACAAGCAAUUUCAAGUAUAUAAAAAAGCGGUGGGUUAUUGUUGUUUGUAUCCAUGUGUUUUCCACUAUUAUUUUUAUCUUUAUACAUUUAAUCCUAGCCUUUAGAUAUAUUACGCUAAUUAUCUUUAUACCCUUUUCACUUUUUUGCUCCUACACUCGAUUAUCACAUGUAUCAAUACCUCCAUGUACACAUGUAUCAUAACCAAUAACCACAAGGGGUAAAGGCAUGUGCAUCGAAGGAAAAAAGAAGAGCUUGGAACAUUACACGUUACAGCACCUGGUACAGUUUCUUUCUCAUUUCACUUCUUCCUUUCAACAGCAGGUCAACCAUUUUUUUCAGCCAGUCCUAACAUAACAAUAUAAAGAGUUAGUAGAAAAGUAGAAGGAUGAAUUCCAAGGCAGCCACACAAAAAAUACUGCCAUCAUUCCCAUCCGUUUCCACUCGAAUACAACCAUCUUUGAAUUCCAAAUUAAAAAAGGCCCGAGUAAGACACCUACAUCACCUGAAUACGUAUUACGCUCCAUUCCACAACAAGCAGACUAUAAUGCCUGUGGCCAGUCGCUUCUCAAGGAGCCGGAAGUAAACCAGCAUUAUGCUCUUGACAAAGCAGGAACUGAUCUUAAUAAGUUCGACUGCAUCAACAACAUAGCAUGAAAACAAGAAUGCAGCACCAAUUCUGUAAACAGUACUGGACAAAUUUGCACAUAUGUACCAAAUAUUCCAGUGCUGUUUGAGAACAAGUACUAGUAGUGCAUAACACUGAGUGCAGCUCCUUUAAGAUAGCAGCCCAAUUCUUCGCAGCCAAUUAAAGAAGCUCUAAAACCCUCAACCAAGGAGGUUUAAAUAAGAACUCUUUUUCACAGACCAAAGGACAUCAUUGCCAAGUUCUUAAAAUCCAAUAUAGAUUGACAAACACAUACAGCAAGUUACUACUCAAAAACAUGUUCCAGAUUUCCUCUUCACCUGUAUUUUAAACAUUUUCAGGCUGACUGAAGCAGAUAGAUUCCAAAACUAUAAUAUACUACAUCAGGAGCCAUAUGGAAUACUCAGGGGAACUAAAAUUUCCCUGGACAGAAUACAAAAAGAGAGGUAAUUUACGAAACUAACUCAACCAUCAAAAUCAAUUGCACCAUGAACAAGGGACAAGUUCUGACAGGGGGGGGGGGGGGGGGGGGGG